GUGUGGCAUAUCAUAUCAUGACAAUGUUCAUAUCAUGACAAUGUUCAGUUGAGAAAACUUCAUACACAGAGGCUUAACAGUGCAAGCACACAUUCAUGUAUGAUCAAAGAUGUUUCACUGUCUUUUCUGAAACAGCAUAAAAAUCCUUGUGCAUCACUUCAACAAACAUUUAUCAUUGAAAGAGAGCAUACUUGCAGGCCAAGUAUUAUAGUGCAUAGAUCCUACUGCCUGAUAAUAGGAUUAUAAAGAAAACACAGGGAUUCAAAUUCAAACCAUCCUUAAAUAUAUUUCAAUUAUAUUUGUUCGAUGAUGCCUAAUUCUCAUUCCACUUAAAUGUGAGUGUGAGUGACAUAAGGGCCAAGAGAAAAUAGAUACAAAUUUAGAAAAACCUCUGAUCCUAUGUAUUUAAAACACAUCUAAUGAUUUCAAAUUAAAAGUAUACAUACAUACACACACACAUGCUCAAUUUGUCAUAUUUGCAUGAAUUUAUAAUUUUAGUAUUUUUACAAUUUGCAAGAUAACUGAUUUUAUCACUUCAGAUGUGCUUACUUAUGAGGUAAAAAACAUUGUGUCCUUAAAAUCCUCCUGGUCCCUGAUCCUCCAGAUUCCCCCAUUUACCCACAUAUCCAAUCCUACAACAUCUUUCUCUCUCUUUAAAAAACAAAUAGGCAAAUAAAUAAAGAAAAAAAACAGAAUAAAAAAAUCCAACAAACUAAAAAAUACUCGAAGAAAAAGCAGAUAGAGACAUACUUACACACUUACUCCAAUACCCAUACAAUCACAAAAGGGUAGAUAAGGCAAAGACUGUAAGGUUAAAUAAAAGUAUUAACAGAGGAGCCAUUGUGAUACAAAACAAUCUCCACAAAUACCACUGAGUUCAUUUUGUUUUGGCCAUCUACUACUGGGCCUGUUGCUUCCCUUCGAGUGUGCUUUCUAUAUCCAAUGAGACUGCAUUGGAAGAGAACUAUUUUUUUCUUUUUGAGAGGUUUCAUUUGGCGAUAUCUUCUUAGUUAGUCAUAGGAGUUAUGUCCUUUUUCUUCUCUCAGUACUGAGACCCCUUCUGUUUUGGAACUUUGCAUCCUCUACACAUUCAACCACUGUCAGUAUGUGUUCAUAUUGUGCAUCAGUCCUAUUGUGUCUACAAGGUCCCAUUUUCUUGGCAUCCUCCAUCCUCUUGAACUCUUACAAUCUUUUCACAAACUCUUCUGUAAAGUUCUCUGAGCGGAGAGAGGUUUGGUGGAGUUGUCCCAUUUAGGACUCAGUGCUUCAAAGUCUCUCACUCUUUGAACGCUGUCCAGUUAUGGAGCUCUUUUAUUUGUUCCCAUCCACUGCAGGUAGAAGCCUCUCUGAUGAUGACUGAGUAAGACACUGAUGUACGAAUAUAACAGAAUGUCGUUAGGGGUUAUUAUAUUUCUAUGUUCCAUUAGCAGAAGACUAGUAUUUGGUUUUCAUAGGUUUGUGGUCCACCUGGUCUCAGGAAUUUAGCCUCUGAGCUGGCAUGGGUUCUUUUUCAUGUGGUGGGCCUUAACUCAAUCCAAUUGCAGUUUGUUGUUUCCACAAAACUUGUGAUAUUAUUGAAUCAGCAUGUUGUGUAGGCAGUUCACCAUUGUCGAAAAAUGGGUAUGUAAUUUGAUACCCUUUCUAAUCUGGUAGUGUGCUCAGAUUCUUCCAGCAUCAUAACUACUAUUCAGUAGGAAUAACAGCUCUAUUUAGAAUACAGCUUGACUUCUCCAUAUUAAAUAAGAAAUCUUGAAGUUUUCAUCGUCAAUAGAGCCUUAAUAUCGGAUUAUGGAAAGCUACCAGUAGCUUAUUCCAAAGCCUGAAUUAUUGGAGGUUUCCAUGACAAAUUUAACAAUAUGCCUUCUAAACAAACAAACAAACAAAAAUCAAGUAAAAGUG
RNAcentral lists this long non-coding RNA (1899 nucleotides) under Mus musculus (house mouse). Its description in RNAcentral is "long non-coding RNA chr1:147089036-147090935". Lineage: Eukaryota; Metazoa; Chordata; Mammalia; Rodentia; Muridae. The record is from RNAcentral.